Molecule: ribosomal RNA, 1302 nt
Filed under: Triticum aestivum (bread wheat)
Lineage: Eukaryota; Viridiplantae; Streptophyta; Magnoliopsida; Poales; Poaceae
Description: partial small subunit ribosomal RNA
Source: RNAcentral
AUGGGCUCGCCUUCAGUCGUUCUUCCUAAGGUGGUCGACGGUGAGAAGGAGGGCACUGCCCGCCGUGCCAAAUGGUGGUACGUGACGUUCCACAAUGUCACCGCGAUGGUCGGCGCCGGCGUGCUCAGCCUGCCCUACGCCAUGGCUCACCUCGGAUGGGGGCCAGGGAUAGUGGCGCUGCUGGUGUCGUGGUGCAUCACGCUGUACACGCUGCGGCUGCUGAUCGAGCUCCACGAGUGCGUGCCCGGCGUGCGCUUCGACCGGUACCGUGACCUGGGCGUGCACGCGCUGGGCCCGCGGCUGGGCCUGUGGGUGGUGGUGCCGCAGCAGCUCAUCGUGCAGCUCGGCUGCGACGUCGUCUACAUGGUCACCGGCGGCAACUGCCUGCAGAAGUUCGCCGAGUCUGUAUGCCCGGGCUGCACGCGGCUGCACCAGUCCUACUGGAUUUGCAUCUUCGGCUCCUCCCAGUUCCUGCUCUCGCAGCUCCGCGACCUCAACUCCAUCACCGCCAUCUCCCUCGCCGCCGCCGUCAUGUCCCUCAGCUACUCCACCAUAUCGUGGGCGGCGUGCUUGGCCAAGGGCCCCGUCGCCGGGGUGAGCUACGCGUACAAGGCCGGCACGGCGGCGGACUCGGUGUUCCGGGUGUGCAGCGCGCUGGGGCAGGUGGCUUUCGCGUUCGCCGGGCACGGCGUGGUCCUGGAGAUCCAGGCCACCAUCCCGUCCACGCCUACCAAGCCGUCCAAGGUGCCCAUGUGGAAGGGCACCGUCGCCGCCUACAUGGUCACCGCCGCGUGCUACUUCCCCGUGGCGUUCAUCGGGUACUGGACGUUCGGCCAGGACGUGAGCGACAACGUGCUCGUGGCGCUGGAGCGCCCGCCCUGGCUCGUCGCCGCCGCCAACAUGAUGGUGGUCAUCCAUGUCGUCGGGAGCUAUCAGGUAUACGCCAUGCCAAUAUUCGAAAGCAUGGAAACGUUUCUGACCACGAGGUUCAGGGUUCCACCGGGGCUGCUGCUCCGUCUGGUGGCUCGAUCAACCUACGUCGCGUUCACGCUGUUCGUCGCCGUGACUUUCCCGUUCUUCGGCGACCUCCUCGGCUUCUUCGGGGGCUUCGGAUUCACGCCCACCUCCUUCUUCCUCCCCUGCAUCCUAUGGCUGAAGAUCAAGAAGCCUCUGAGGUUCAGCGCGUCGUGGCUCGCCAAUUGGGGGUGCAUCGUCGUCGGGGUGCUGCUGAUGCUGGUUUCCACCAUGGGCGGGUUAAGGAGCAUCAUCCAGGACGCCUCCACGUUCCAGUUCUACUCUUGA